GCUACUACCGAUUGAAUGGUUUAGUGAGGACUCCUGAUUGGCGCCGCCGCCCCGGCAACGGAGCAGCGGACUGCCGAAAAGUUGUUCGAACUUGAUCAUUUAGAGGAAGUAAAAGUCGUAACAAGGUUUCCGUAGGUGAACCUGCAGAAGGAUUCA
This 156-nucleotide unclassified non-coding RNA is filed under the name sea anemone metagenome. RNAcentral's name for it is "partial contains small subunit ribosomal RNA and internal transcribed spacer 1". It matches the Rfam family "Eukaryotic small subunit ribosomal RNA", at positions 1678 to 1829 of the family's 1831-position model. The record is from RNAcentral.